CCUACGGGAGGCAGCAGUGGGGAAUAUUGCACAAUGGGGGGAACCCUGAUGCAGCGACGCCGCGUGAAGGAAGAAGUAUCUCGGUAUGUAAACUUCUAUCAGCAGGGAAGAAAGAGGACGGUACCUGACUAAGAAGCCCCGGCUAACUACGUGCCAGCAGCCGCGGUAAUACGUAGGGGGCGAGCGUUAUCCGGAUUUACUGGGUGUAAAGGGAGCGUAGACGGCCAUGCAAGCUCGGUGUGAAAGGUGCGGGCACAACCCGCAGACUGCACUGAGAACUGUAUGGCUGGAGUGCCGGAGGGGCAGGCGGAAUUCCUGGUGUAGCGGUGAAAUGCGUAGAUAUCAGGAGGAACACCGGUGGCGAAGGCGGCCUGCUGGACGGCGACUGACGUUGAGGCUCGAAAGCGUGGGGAGCGAACAGGAUUAGAUACCCCAGUAGUC
This 441-nucleotide ribosomal RNA is filed under the name uncultured bacterium. RNAcentral's name for it is "partial 16S ribosomal RNA". It matches the Rfam family "Bacterial small subunit ribosomal RNA", at positions 338 to 795 of the family's 1533-position model. The record is from RNAcentral.